Alosa alosa (allis shad) is the source of this 612-nucleotide long non-coding RNA. RefSeq lists it as uncharacterized. The transcript is spliced from 3 exons. The record is from RefSeq and is a predicted model, not a curated record. NCBI's taxonomy places the organism in Eukaryota, Metazoa, Chordata, Actinopteri, Clupeiformes, Clupeidae.
AUUUGAAGACAUAGAAGAACGAACCCUUUUAGUUUGAUGGACGUCCUUAUCAGUCUAUGGUCUAACUUAUGAACGUGUCGGGUCAACGUCAACAAUAAAUACAAUACAAUGUGAUGCUGUGUGAGAUUACCGACUGGUCUUCGUUGAUUGGAUCCUGCACACUGCCUGUGUUCUGGGGCACCCAUGGAGGAUCAAACAUGGGCACACAUGGCAUACCCAAGAUGGGAGAAGGUUUAUGACUUCACCAGCGGCAGCAGCCAUAUGUUCAUCCACACUUAGAAGCAGCUCCCAGGCAGCAGGCUGGAUGUCUCCAUACAUGUCCUCAGUGAGAAUAGGUGCUGCUUUUAUCAGCAAUGAGAGUGGUGCUGGAGACAGACUCAUCACCUAGGCAUAGAAACAAUCAUGACUAAAAAUGAUUAAAUACACCUAAUAAACUCCUGCAUACACCUUUUGUGGAACACUUGUGCAUGCAGGUUUUCCCACAUACAGGUUAUAUGUUGGAAUUCAUGUAAGGGUGGAGAUAAAAGUUUAAGAUUUGGUCAAACAACGUGGAAUAAGAACUGUUAACAAACUGUUGUGACAAAGUAUUUGCUACUAGCACCAUCUACUGAA